Molecule: ribosomal RNA, 1287 nt
Filed under: metagenome
Description: bacterial SSU rRNA
Rfam family: Bacterial small subunit ribosomal RNA
Source: RNAcentral
UAGCUAGUUGGUGAGGUAAAGGCUUACCAAGGUGACGAUCUGUAGCGGGUCUGAGAGGAUGAUCCGCCACACUGGAACUGAGACACGGUCCAGACUCCUACGGGAGGCAGCAGUGGGGAAUUUUGGACAAUGGGGGCAACCCUGAUCCAGCCAUGCCGCGUGAGUGAAGAAGGCCUUCGGGUUGUAAAGCUCUUUCGGCCGGGAAGAAAUCGCAUGGGCCAAUACCAUGUGUGGAUGACGGUACCGGAAUAAGAAGCACCGGCUAACUACGUGCCAGCAGCCGCGGUAAUACGUAGGGUGCGAGCGUUAAUCGGAAUUACUGGGCGUAAGGCGUGCGCAGGCGGUUUUGUAAGACAGGCGUGAAAUCCCCGGGCUUAACCUGGGAACUGCGUUUGUGACUGCAAGGCUAGAGUACGGCAGAGGGGGGUGGAAUUCCACGUGUAGCAGUGAAAUGCGUAGAGAUGUGGAGGAACACCAAUGGCGAAGGCAGCCCCCUGGGUCGAUACUGACGCUCAUGCACGAAAGCGUGGGUAGCAAACAGGAUUAGAUACCCUGGUAGUCCACGCCCUAAACUAUGUCAACUAGGUGUUGGGUGGGUAAAACCAUUUAGUACCGUAGCUAACGCGUGAAGUUGACCGCCUGGGGAGUACGGCCGCAAGGUUAAAACUCAAAGGAAUUGACGGGGACCCGCACAAGCGGUGGAUGAUGUGGAUUAAUUCGAUGCAACGCGAAAAACCUUACCUACCCUUGACAUGCCAGGAACUUGCCAGAGAUGGCUUGGUGCCCGAAAGGGAGCCUGGACACAGGUGCUGCAUGGCUGUCGUCAGCUCGUGUCGUGAGAUGUUGGGUUAAGUCCCGCAACGAGCGCAACCCUUGUCGUUAAUUGCCAUCAUUUAGUUGGGCACUUUAACGAGACUGCCGGUGACAAACCGGAGGAAGGUGGGGAUGACGUCAAGUCCUCAUGGCCCUUAUGGGUAGGGCUUCACACGUCAUACAAUGGUCGGUACAAAGGGUUGCCAAGCCGCGAGGCGGAGCCAAUCCCAGAAAGCCGAUCGUAGUCCGGAUUGCAGGCUGCAACUCGCCUGCAUGAAGUCGGAAUCGCUAGUAAUCGUGGACCAGCAUGUCACGGUGAAUACGUUCCCGGGUCUUGUACACACCGCCCGUCACACCAUGGGAGCGGGUUCCGCCAGAAGUAGGUAGCCUAACCGCAAGGGGGGCGCUUACCACGGCGGGGUUCGUGACUGGGGUGAAGUCGGAACAAGGUAGCCGUAGGGGAACCUGCGGCUG